Molecule: transfer RNA, 75 nt
Filed under: Planctomycetota bacterium
Lineage: Bacteria; Pseudomonadati; Planctomycetota
Description: Planctomycetes bacterium (bioreactor metagenome) tRNA-Gln
Rfam family: tRNA
About the family: Transfer RNA (tRNA) molecules are approximately 80 nucleotides in length. Their secondary structure includes four short double-helical elements and three loops (D, anti-codon, and T loops).
Source: RNAcentral
UACCCGGUGGUGUAAUCGGCAACACUUCUGAUUUUGGUUCAGACAUUCCUGGUUCGAGUCCAGGCCGGGUAGCCA